AACUCAAAAACUUAGUCUCAGUUCGGAUUGUAGGCUGAAACUCGCCUACAUGAGGCUGGAGUUGCUAGUAAUCGCGAAUCAGCAUGUCGCGGUGAAUACGUUCCCGGGCCUUGUACACACCGCCCGUCACACCAUGAGAGUUGGCAAUACCCAACGUACGUGAUCUAACCCGCAAGGGAGGAAGCGUCCUAAGGUAGGGUCAGCGAUUGGGGUGAAGUCGUAACAAGGUAAC
This 232-nucleotide ribosomal RNA is filed under the name uncultured bacterium. RNAcentral describes it as "partial 16S ribosomal RNA". It matches the Rfam family "Bacterial small subunit ribosomal RNA", at positions 1271 to 1500 of the family's 1533-position model. The record is from RNAcentral.